Long non-coding RNA from Ruditapes philippinarum (Manila clam), 557 nucleotides. RefSeq lists it as uncharacterized. The record is from RefSeq and is a predicted model, not a curated record. The transcript has 2 exons. Lineage: Eukaryota; Metazoa; Mollusca; Bivalvia; Venerida; Veneridae.
AGAAAUUUAUCACACAAUACUUUCACAUUCAUGCGCAAGAAAGAGGAUAGAAGUUCCUUAUAGUGUCCAUUAGGGUUGUGCUACCUUAAAAUAGUCAUCGACUUAGAAGCAAGACGACGAGGUCGGAAAACCGCCGAUUAUUGUCAAAUAUCCAACACACCUUUAUUAGAUCGACAGUGAUUAUUGAUAUACUCAUGUGCAGCUUUUGGUCGCAAACUUUCAAACAAAGACACAGUUGAAAAUUCUUUUAUAUUGUAUUUAUAUUUCUAAGGUAACAACGAACGACAGUUUCACACUCAGAAAGUAUCGGAAAGCCAACAGGCGACAAUUUAGCCACAUACCGGGCGUGACUACAGGAACAAGAGGUGUGAUGUGGUUUGACUUUCUUAUAAUAGCAGUAGGCUUUGCCUUUGGGAAAAUAUUUUGGAUUUUCUCAUUUUUUUAAUUCACUCUCCCUCUCAGAUUUUGCGUUUGCCAGCUGAUUUGCUAACAUGAUUCAAAAGCUGUGUAAAAUUAUCGCCAGUUGCAUCGCACCUGAAUGAAAGAGGUAAAAGUAA